CAGCAGCCGCGGUAAUACGUAGGGUGCGAGCGUUAAUCGGAAUUACUGGGCGUAAAGCGUGCGCAGGCGGUUCGUUAAGACAGAUGUGAAAUCCCCGGGCUUAACCCGGGAACUGCAUUUGUGACUGGCGAGCUAGAGUAUGGCAGAGGGGGGUAGAAUUCCACGUGUAGCAGUGAAAUGCGUAGAGAUGUGGAGGAAUACCGAUGGCGAAGGCAGCCCCCUGGGCCAAUACUGACGCUCAUGCACGAAAGCGUGGGGAGCAAACAGGAUUAGAUACCCGUGUAGUCCCUGUCUCUUAUAC
This 301-nucleotide ribosomal RNA is filed under the name uncultured bacterium. RNAcentral describes it as "partial 16S ribosomal RNA". It matches the Rfam family "Bacterial small subunit ribosomal RNA", at positions 509 to 807 of the family's 1533-position model. The record is from RNAcentral.